UUCUACAAUAGCUCUUCUCCUCCUUCUGUGACGACGAGACGAUGUCGGCGAUCACAUCUCCUCUCCUCUCAGGUUUUCACAGUUAUGAUUUCUUUGUCUCACUCUCAUCUGGAUCUCCGUGGCUAGCUUUCUCUCAACCUCUCUAUGGCAGGGUUGGAAGCUUGAGAGUUGUUCAUUCUUGAUAAUGAUAUGAGACUUUAAAUUGAUGGCCUUGAGACUGCAUAUUGUUCAAACCAAAAGCAUUGGGUUCUUGAAGGAAGAUGCUAGACGAUGGAGCAUCCAUUUCAACCUUGAAGAGAUAUUGCAGUGAACAAUUCAAAUUUUGGUAUGGAUGUUGAAGACUAUGUUGUUGGUGGGUGUUCUAACAUUUCUUUAAAUAUGAUUGCAUACGAAUGACGUUGCUGUGAAAAAAGUCAAAAAAGUAACAUGUUGAUGCAAUUUUGUUUCGUGAUCAACUAGAAAUACACAAACAUUUGAUUCAGUCUAGUAGGCUUAGUUGCAUAGAUAUUUGAAGAAUUAAGUCAGCAUGCUAGUAAUUGCUAUAUGGCUGAUUUUGUCUUGGUGACUUAUGCUAUCACCCAAAGUUGGAGGUCCUAUCCUUGCUAGUUGUUUGGGAACAUAGAGACGUGGAGAUGAAUCUGCACUUUGUGUUUCCCUUGUCCAAUGGUUCCCGCGAGCCCUUUUUCAUCAUGAGUGUUUUGAUUUGCUUUCUGGUUCGUUCAAUGUAUAGUAAAAUAUCGCUAUAUAAUUUAUUUCCUCUUAUUUUGUAGCGGGAGUAGCUAUCUUCAUUUUACUAAUCUCAUUUUAUUCAACUCGUGAAGUACAAGGAGUCACAGAGGCAUGGGCUUGGUGACGUAAGGCAUGGGCUGAAUUGAAGAUGGGAGUGUAGUAGAUUGUAGUUCAAUUGUUUUGCUCUAUUUCUACUGUUGUUAUUUAGGCUUCAGAUCUUGAUUGUAGUUCAGUUUUUUUUUUCUUCCUUCUUGUACUUGGCAUUUAGUUUGUUUUAUUUUUUUUACCUUAAAUACUUGGCAUUUAGUUUUAAUGUAUUGCUUUUGAU
Non-coding RNA from Prunus avium (sweet cherry), 1057 nucleotides. Lineage: Eukaryota; Viridiplantae; Streptophyta; Magnoliopsida; Rosales; Rosaceae. The record is from RefSeq and is a predicted model, not a curated record.